GACGAACGCUGGCGGCGUGCCUAACACAUGCAAGUGGAGCGACGAACCAGGGCUUGCCCUGGGGCCAAGCCGCGAACGGGUGAGUAACACGUGGAUAACCUGCCCCGAUGACCGGGACAACCCGAGGAAACUCGGGCUAAUACCGGAUGUGGUGGACACACUUAAGUGUGUCCACUAAAGGAAGCUUCGGCCUCCGCAUUGGGAUGGGCCCGCGGCCCAUUAGCUAGUUGGUGGGGUAAAGGCCUACCAAGGCAACGAUGGGUAGCUGGUCUGAGAGGACGAUCAGCCACACUGGGACUGAGACACGGGCCCAGACUCC
RNAcentral lists this ribosomal RNA (319 nucleotides) under uncultured bacterium. RNAcentral's name for it is "bacterial SSU rRNA". It matches the Rfam family "Bacterial small subunit ribosomal RNA", at positions 28 to 339 of the family's 1533-position model. The record is from RNAcentral.